Molecule: transfer RNA, 88 nt
Filed under: Gemmatimonadota bacterium
Lineage: Bacteria; Pseudomonadati; Gemmatimonadota
Also listed under: 2 other names
Description: tRNA-Ser
Rfam family: tRNA
About the family: Transfer RNA (tRNA) molecules are approximately 80 nucleotides in length. Their secondary structure includes four short double-helical elements and three loops (D, anti-codon, and T loops). Further hydrogen bonds mediate the characteristic L-shaped molecular structure. tRNAs have two regions of fundamental functional importance: the anti-codon, which is responsible for specific mRNA codon recognition, and the 3' end, to which the tRNAs corresponding amino acid is attached (by aminoacyl-tRNA synthetases). tRNAs cope with the degeneracy of the genetic code in two manners: having more than one tRNA (with a specific anti-codon) for a particular amino acid; and 'wobble' base-pairing, i.e. permitting non-standard base-pairing at the 3rd anti-codon position.
Source: RNAcentral
GGAGGGAUGGCCGAGUGGUUUAAGGCAGCAGUCUUGAAAACUGCCGAAGGGUAACCCCCUUCCGUGGGUUCGAAUCCCACUCCCUCCG